RNAcentral lists this ribosomal RNA (433 nucleotides) under uncultured bacterium. RNAcentral's name for it is "partial 16S ribosomal RNA". It matches the Rfam family "Bacterial small subunit ribosomal RNA", at positions 29 to 507 of the family's 1533-position model. The record is from RNAcentral.
AACGAACGCUGGCGGCAUGCCUAACACAUGCAAGUCGAACGAGACCUUCGGGUCUAGUGGCGCACGGGUGCGUAACGCGUGGGAACCUGCCCUUAGGUUCGGAAUAACUCCCCGAAAGGGGUGCUAAUACCGGAUACUGUCUUCGGACCAAAGAUUUAUCGCCUUUGGAUGGGCCCGCGUUGGAUUAGCUAGUUGGUAGGGGAUAAGCCUACCAAGGCGACGAUCCAUAGCUGGUCUGAGAGGAUGAUCAGCCACACUGGGACUGAGACACGGCCCAGACCCGGACGGAACGGAGCAGUAGGGAGCACUAUGCGAGGAGCGCAAGCGCAACGCAGCAGUGUGGGGGGUGAGGGGCAUCGCGUUGUAAACCUAAUCCCGUAUGGCCGAGACGAUAAUGACAGUACCGGGAGAAGAAGCACCGGCUAACUCCGUG